GAUGAACGCUGGCGGCGUGCCUAAUACAUGCAAGUCGAACGGACGGACCACUUGCGUGCUUCACUGGUGUUAGCAGCGGGCGAGUGAGUAAUACGUGGCUAGCCUUCGUCUUUGACUUGGCUAACUGCGGCAGGCGGGAGUAACUAAUAGGUGAUAUUUUGGACCGCUUGGGUUUGGAGUGUAUGACGGUCUGGGUGUCACUUCUAGAUGGAUCCGCGCUUCAUUAGCUGGUUGGUAGGGUAACGGCUUACCAAGGCGGCGGUGGAUAGCCGACCUGAGAGGGUGUUGGGCCACACUGGAAGUGAGACGCGAUCCAGACUCCUACGGGCGGCAGAAGUAGGGAGGCUUCCGCGAAGGGGGGAAGACUGCCGGAGCAACGCCGCGUGGGUGAUGAAGGUCUUCGGAUGGUAGAACUCUGUUAUUAGUGAAGAACAUAUGUGUAAGUAACUGUGCACAGCUUGACGGUAGCUAAUCAAAAAGCCACGGCUAACUACGUG
RNAcentral lists this ribosomal RNA (497 nucleotides) under uncultured bacterium. Its description in RNAcentral is "partial 16S ribosomal RNA". It matches the Rfam family "Bacterial small subunit ribosomal RNA", at positions 28 to 507 of the family's 1533-position model. The record is from RNAcentral.